UCCGGUUUGUCACCGGCAGUCUCUGCAGAGUCCCCGGCAUUACCCGCUGGCAACAGCAGACAGGGGUUGCGCUCGUUCAAGGACUUAACCCAACAUCUCACGACACGAGCUGACGACAGCCAUGCAGCACCUGUGCACGGACUCCGAAGAGGGCCCGGUGUUUCCACCAGGUUUCCCGUGCAUGUCAAGCCCAGGUAAGGUUCUUCGCGUUGCGUCGAAUUAAACCACAUGCUCCACUGCUUGUGCGGGCCCCCGUCAAUUCCUUUGAGUUUCAACCUUGCGAUUGUACUUCCCAGGUGGAAUACUUAAUGCGUUAGCUUGGAUACUGACCUUAAAAAAAGACCAACAUCUAGUAUUCAUCGUUUAGGGUGUGGACUAC
This 379-nucleotide unclassified non-coding RNA is filed under the name uncultured bacterium. RNAcentral's name for it is "contains 16S-23S intergenic spacer region". The record is from RNAcentral.